Molecule: non-coding RNA, 733 nt
Organism: Paramisgurnus dabryanus
Lineage: Eukaryota; Metazoa; Chordata; Actinopteri; Cypriniformes; Cobitidae
Source: RefSeq, a predicted model, not a curated record
UCUAUGGCUAACAGAUUUUUUAACAUUUGUCUUUUUUACAGUCUUACCAUUGCUUGUAAGUCGGAUUGGGUCAGAUGGAUCAUCUUUAAAGGCACCAGGCAAGUACAUGAUGUACAGUUACAAGUCAUGUAUUUUUUUGACUGCAAUAUUAAAUGCUUUCACGUCACAUGUAAAAGUACACAGGAAUGUGCUGAUCACUUUUUAUUUGUAGUUUACAUCAGUGUCAUUGCACUUUUCAGGAGUUAAGGCAGAUGUGGAGGCACACGGGUGACACCAGACACACACCAAGCACAUUGUUCGGACAUUCAAUCAUGACAUGAUCCAUGUGGAUGCUGUCCAUUGAGGAAAGAGUUUGUUCAGCGGUUUCUGGAUAGAAUUAAUUCCAAAGAUGGGAAAAAGUGCACAUCCAGACAAGGAGCAAGCAAAUAGACAAGGAACUUGGUGCAGAGAAAAGCUGUGGCCAUUGACCCCCAUGUGAACAGCUUCAUGCAGUCCCUGAUUGAGUUCGAAUGGACGACUUCAAAGUAAAGGCCACUGUGGUCUGUCUGCCACAGUUUAAUGCAUUUAUUUUUAGUGUUAAAUGAAAUUCAAGUAGAAUAUUUUAAACUAUGGGCCAGUGUUCUUUUUACCACAGUGAAAUGUUACCUUUUAGUCGAUGAUGGACUUUAAACUGAAAACUUCAAACUAUGGAACAGUGUUCUAUUUGCCAGAGUUAAAUAUGUUACAGCAGGGG